GAGUAACACGUGAGUAACCUGCCCUUGACUCUGGGAUAAGCCCGGGAAACUGGGUCUAAUACUGGAUAUUCAGCUGCUAUCGCAUGGUGGUGGUUGGAAAGGGAUUGACUGGUCAAGGAUGGACUCGCGGCCUAUCAGCUUGUUGGUGGGGUAAUGGCCUACCAAGGCGACGACGGGUAGCCGGCCUGAGAGGGUGACCGGCCACACUGGGACUGAGACACGGCCCAGACUCCUACGGGAGGCAGCAGUGGGGAAUAUUGCACAAUGGGCGCAAGCCUGAUGCAGCGACGCCGCGUGAGGGAUGACGGCCUUCGGGUUGUAAACCUCUUUCAGUAGGGAAGAAGCGAAAGUGACGGUACCUGCAGAAGAAGCGCCGGGCUAACUACGUGCCAGCAGCCGCGGUAAUACGUAGGGCGCAAGCGUUAUCCGGAAUUAUUGGGCGUAAAGAGCUCGUAGGCGGUUUGUCGCGUCUGCCGUGAAAGUCCGGGGCUCAACCCCGGAUCUGCGGUGGGUACGGGCAGACUAGAGUGCUGUAGGGGAGACUGGAAUUCCUGGUGUAGCGGUGAAAUGCGCAGAUAUCAGGAGGAACACCGAUGGCGAAGGCAGGUCUCUGGGCAGUAACUGACGCUGAGGAGCGAAAGCAUGGGGAGCGAACAGGAUUAGAUACCCUGGUAGUCCAUGCCGUAAACGUUGGGCACUAGAUGUGGGGGACAUUCCACGUUUUCCGCGUCGUAGCUAACGCAUUAAGUGCCCCGCCUGGGGAGUACGGCCGCAAGGCUAAAACUCAAAGGAAUUGACGGGGGCCCGCACAAGCGGCGGAGCAUGCGGAUUAAUUCGAUGCAACGCGAAGAACCUUACCAAGGCUUGACAUGGACCGGACCGCUCUGGAAACAGGGCUUCCCUUCGGGGCUGGUUCACAGGUGGUGCAUGGUUGUCGUCAGCUCGUGUCGUGAGAUGUUGGGUUAAGUCCCGCAACGAGCGCAACCCUCGUUCCAUGUUGCCAGCACGUGAUGGUGGGGACUCAUGGGAGACUGCCGGGGUCAACUCGGAGGAAGGUGGGGACGACGUCAAAUCAUCAUGCCCCUUAUGUCUUGGGCUUCACGCAUGCUACAAUGGCCGGUACAAUGGGUUGCGAUACUGUGAGGUGGAGCUAAUCCCAAAAAGCCGGUCUCAGUUCGGAUUGGGGUCUGCAACUCGACCCCAUGAAGUCGGAGUCGCUAGUAAUCGCAGAUCAGCAACGCUGCGGUGAAUACGUUCCCGGGCCUUGUACACACCGCCCGUCAAGUCACGAAAGUUGGUAACACCCGAAGCC
This 1312-nucleotide ribosomal RNA is filed under the name Zhihengliuella alba. RNAcentral describes it as "bacterial SSU rRNA". It matches the Rfam family "Bacterial small subunit ribosomal RNA", at positions 108 to 1428 of the family's 1533-position model. Lineage: Bacteria; Bacillati; Actinomycetota; Actinomycetes; Micrococcales; Micrococcaceae. The record is from RNAcentral.